This is a long non-coding RNA of Oncorhynchus masou masou (cherry salmon), 1908 nucleotides long. RefSeq lists it as uncharacterized. The record is from RefSeq and is a predicted model, not a curated record. The transcript is spliced from 3 exons. NCBI's taxonomy places the organism in Eukaryota, Metazoa, Chordata, Actinopteri, Salmoniformes, Salmonidae.
CAACACUUCUAUUCCAGAAGGGUCAAUAUUUUGGUCCAUGGUUACUCUAUUGAGAUCUCUCAUUACUGGGAUGAUGUAGUUGUGGUGAAUGGGAUUAUUUUGAGCCUUCCCUCAGUGUUGAGCCAAGGUAAAGUGAAGAGCUCUCCACGUGUAUUGAGACUGACUUUGGUGUCCUGGUCACAUACAACUGGAACCUCCUGACUGUCCAAGUGCCCAGGGUCUUCUCUGGCUCACUCUAUGGCCUGUGUGGGAACUUUAACGUGGACCCAGAGGACUAUCUAACAGACGACGGGGACAUCUAUGGCUGUGAGGCACUGGGAAACUAGUAACGUUGUUGAAUGUGUGGAUGUGACGACUGUGAACAAUCCCCAAUGCCCCAUCAGGAGCAGGCUCUCUAUUUAGGCAGGGACUACCGAGGGAGUGUUCCAGAACUGCCACGGGAUGGUCAACCCCAAACGCUGCCUUUGACAACUGUCUACAACCUCUGCUACAACAAUGACAAGCAGACUGCCCUGUCAGAUUCUCUCAAUUUACACCGCUGCUUGCCAGGAGGAAGGGGCAAACAUAGAUGAAUGGAGGGCUUCAGAUUAUUGUGGUCUGUACUGUCCAGCCAACAUUGAAUACAACCUGUGCUCCAUCCCUGUGCCCAACAAUUGUGUGGCGUCUCGUGUAAACCUGGGUUCUUCCAUAGUGGUGGGAAGUGUGUCCCCAACACUGAGUGCGGCUGCCUCUGACGGUUUGUGCCACAAGAUCAAGGCAGUGUUUUACUCCCAUGAUCACUGCCAGGUUGCUUCUCUUGUCGGUCAAGGCUAGCUACCAUGCACUGACACCACCUGUUCCAGUGGAACAGAGUGUAGGAUCCAAAAUGGCCCCCGUGACUGCUAUCCAGCGCCAGUUUCAGGGAAGUGCAAAGUGGUGGGAGGCAGGCACUUGGACCUAUGAUGGGCAUAGCUUUGAUCUCCAUAUGGGCAUAUCAAGAAGCCCCCAUUUCCUAAACCAGACAUAUGCCAAGAAUGGAGCAAAUACAUUUUCAUAUAUCCAGCAAGGUCAGCUACACCUGAGGUACAAGGGACUGAAUGACUGUGGAACCGCAGCAGAGGGGGAUGGUUGAGAUGUGUUUUAUAGUAGCGGCCUUAAUCCUAAUGAUAGUUUUCGUCUUGAGCUAUAAUAAAUCUGUUUAAACGUUGAUGUGAUGUUUCAGGUCUGAACUUUGUCUCAAGGUGAAAAGGGCUUCCUGGAACCUUCCGGUCCACCAGGAGAGUAUCAUUGCUGUGCUUUCUGGUCUGACAACACAGGUGGAAAUGGACAAUGGGGCAGUGAUCACGUACGGUGGACCUGACUUCAUACAGCUGUUAUCUCCUCCUGCCUACGCUGGCAAGGCAUGUGGUUGGUGUUGAAACUUCAACAGCGCUGCUACAGAUGAAACUCAGAUGGUCCGUGACGUUUUUCUGUCUGGGGUCAUCUGCCCAGUGUGUAACUGGAUCUUGGCGGCUGAGUUCAAGUUGGAGCAUUUCUGUGGAGUCCUCUCAGCUCCUGCUGGCCUAUUCAGAGACUGCCACGCCACGGUAGACCCACAACCUUUCUUGGACAACUGUGUAAAGGCCCCUGUGUGUGUCUUGAAGGGAUAUGGCAAAGUACUGUGGCAGCCUGAAGGAUUAUUGGGGAGGCAGGGUAGCCUAGUGUUUAGAGUGUUGGACUAGUAACCGAAAGGUUGCAAGUUUGAAUCCCCGAGCUGACUCGGUACAAAUCUGUCAUUCUGCCCCUGAACAGGCAGUUAACCCACUGUUCCUAGGCUGUCAUUGAAAAUAAGAAUUUGUUCUUAACUGACUUGCCUAGUUAAAUAAAGGUAGAAAAAAUUUAAAAAUCUAUGUUUGUAUUUUAUGAAGCCGCAGGCAAGGUCUAGCCAUG